GAUAAACGCUGGCGGCGUGCCUAAUGCAUGCAAGUCGAACGGUCUAGUUUCUUCGGAAGCUAGGUAGUGGCAAACGGGUGAGUAACACGUGGGGAUCUGCCCAGUAGUGGGGAACAACUCCGAGAAAUCGGAGCUAAUACCGCAUACGGUAGGUGUUGAAGGACACCAUACUAAAGCCGACGUAAGAAGGCGCUAUUGGAGGAACCUGCGGCUGAUUAGCUAGUUGGUGGGUAAAGCCUACCAAGGCGAUGAUCAGUAGCUGGUCUGAGAGGAUGGACAGCCACACUGGGACUGAGAUACGGCCCAGACUCCUACGGGAGGCAGCAGCAAGGAAUUUUCGUC
This 342-nucleotide ribosomal RNA is filed under the name uncultured bacterium. Its description in RNAcentral is "bacterial SSU rRNA". It matches the Rfam family "Bacterial small subunit ribosomal RNA", at positions 28 to 369 of the family's 1533-position model. The record is from RNAcentral.